CUAGUCGGUGCUUGCAGAAUAUCCCGGAGAAAGCUUUUUUGGCUGGUACAUACCAGGCUUUCCUCAGGACAUCGCUGAUUUGUGACUUGGGUAGCAGUUUCUAUUGUUUCAUUUGUUGCUAAAUAAAAAGGUAUUGAAUAAUUUUCUUCCAGACUAGAAGCGUUGUAUUCACUUGAAGGAAACCAAUGCAGGAGUUCAACUGGCAACGUGAUGGAAAUUGAGAAAUUAAUUUGAACUAUAAAGAAGUAGGCAUGUAAAGUGGAGCAUUCUUACAGAUUUAGAUUAUUAAGUGCUCAGUUCUGCAGCAUAUGGUGGCUGAAAGGAGUGCAGAACCACUCUCAAACAGUUAAGUCAGCAGCAAAAACCCCUACUGUUAAAAUCCUACCAUCCAGAGGAAGGUCCAUUUACUGUCACAAAGCUGAAAGAAAUGUUACAGCACUAUUUCUGCUGGAUAUGGAUGAGGCUCUAAUCUCUCUUCAAGCAUCUUAUAUUGGUCAGUUGGACUGAGACUCCACAAACUUCCCUUAACUGCUUUGAAACUGAAAACAAUUACCAGCUUACAAGUUAGGGAAACUGCACAUGAAAAGUUCCUCUUACAGUUUAGCUAGAAUACAAAGCCUUGAAAAGAAAGCCCUUAAUGUGAAAUAAGAGGACAACAUCUUUUUUGGACUAGGUGCUGGAGUGGAUGCAGGGGCAGGUUGCUGCGAGCACAUAUCCCCUUGUGACUCCAGGAACAGAGUCACAGCAGUUCCAGGCAAAAAAGUGUCACAUUGCCUGGUCAAUGAUACCAUCAGCCCAGGCAGCUAGGUCAAAGGUUUGUGUUUGACAACAGUGAGUGCACCUUUUUCUUCUUAUUCCUGAAGGUAGUGGUUAUUACUUGAACAUAGAGCUGUGGCUUUUUGUCAAGAAAACUAGAGCAGCCUGCUGGUGAAAUGGUGCAAGUGUACACCAUUGUCUGCUUUGAUAUUGUAUGUAGAAAGCUGACCCCUUAAAUUACUUCAAAGAUGGCAAGAAACAUGAAGACCAUUUCUCUAAUGGUCUGUUCUUACUGAUAUUAUGAAAAAAGCUUAUUUGAGAUGUAUGUUUUCCUCUACCCUCGUAAAUUGUGAAGUUUCAGAAGACUGAUAGCCUUCACAGUCAGCUGUCCGUGAAAACUUUGUACCAGCAUCUCAAGCCAAAAUAACAGGAGGACUAUCAUAUUCAAAUGAACCAGAAAAGGAGAAAUAAUUCUAGGUCUAACUGGAUAAUCUUGCAAUUAAAUAUUUGAGUUGAAGGCUGAGGACACUGGUUUUGUCUAGGAGAAUCACAGUAGCAAUACAAUGUUGAUCUUAUCCCACCGAAAAAGGAAUUAUAUUUGACCAUAUACCACAGGUCCUGAAAAGAACUGUUGAAAAGACUAUUCAUGCUCAUUUAGGAUGUGCACAGGAUCAUUGCUGAUUCUCAAGACCACCUUGUUGUUAUUAUACCAAGUCUAGCUAAAUUCAGUGGUUUCCAGUCUGAAAGGUAGAAUUACCAGACUAGCUACCAUCAUGACUAUUUGUGAGCACAUGAUUGUCAUAUGAUUUGGAAAUUUGCACAGUUAUAUUCUGUACGUCUCCCUAUUUUCCAUACGGCUGCAAACUUCUAACAAGUCUUUGCUUCAUGUUACUUAAACUCCUAUAGAAGGUUCAUUAAACACAUGAAAACUCUUCUUAAGGCCUGGAGCCACUCCUGCAAUGACUAAGCCUUUCACCUCCACUUUUAUUGUUUUGAAGCAGAAAAUUAACUUGGGAGAAGCACAAAGAAAGUGAUCCUCCCUCACCAAGACUCAGGAUAUUUGUGGAAAGAAAUAUGAAAAACAAAGUAUUAACUCAUGGAGAAAAGCAGAAGCAUCUACAGCAGAGGAAUGUCAGGCCUUUAGAGACUGCACAAAAUCCAGAUCACAUCUGAAUGUAAAAAUGAAUGCUUUUACAAUUCAAGUCAGUGCCCAACUUUCUCUUAAAGGUAAAGCCUGUAUAACUGUCACUGGUGUACAAGAAGAAUAUCAACACCCUGUCUUCUAGUCAUCAAUUAGUAUUGUUACACAAUACUGUAAAAAAUGUAUUAUGAUCAUGAGUUGUUUCAAUAAAUGCAGAAAAGUUUCAAAUUAAGUUCUGCAAAUCUUCAGGUCUGCAGUCAUCAUCAACCAUCACCGACCACUUGAGGCAGCCGACUGUUGCCUGGAUUUUCCAUUUUAACAUGGCAUGCAUUAAACAUAGGGCAGACCACUCAUUCUGCCCUGCCUUUACGUAAGUGACACUGCAGGCGAGUUCAUCCUUGGAAAUAACACUGGCAGCAAAGUAUGGUCAAGAAACGCCACCUGCUGUCUCUUGGAUCACUGCUCCAAAAAGCUGCUGGGGUGCAAGGACAUGCACAAAAAUCACAUUGUCUUUUACUGGACGAAGAACAUUUGAAUAUGAUAAGGAGCAAUCCUUUUCCACACAAGAGGUCCCAAAAGAGGCCUCAGAUCCUCAUCUGAGCUACUUACUACAUAAGCAGCACUUCCUACAGAAUCUCUUGCAGUGAAACCUAGAGAAAAAAAUGUAGCAAUUCACUUUUAAAUGUAAAUGCCUUGGUUUUUUUCCAGAUUGUUAAAAAAAAA
Long non-coding RNA from Pipra filicauda (Wire-tailed manakin), 2620 nucleotides. RefSeq lists it as uncharacterized. The record is from RefSeq and is a predicted model, not a curated record. The transcript is spliced from 3 exons. Lineage: Eukaryota; Metazoa; Chordata; Aves; Passeriformes; Pipridae.